ACCUCAGAGCCUCCUGCCUAUCCCUCUGUCUCUCGUCCUCCUCGGCAUCUCCAUGCUUCUUCUCCUCCUCGUGUUCGUCCGAAUCGCCCCUUUGUUCCUCGUCUUCCUCCUCUGAGGAAUCCCCAUUGCGUUUGUGAUGCUUCUUGUGGUGGUACCUGUGAGUUGGUUUCCAAAUCCUCUUUUCUCUCUCAUCCUCAUCUCUCAUCAUAUCCUCAUCUCUCUUCUCCUUUCCAUCACCCAGACUCCAGGACUCUUGGCUGCGUUCUUCAUCUGGCUCCUCUCUCCCUUCUUCUGAAAGCUCCUCAUCACGUUUGUGGUGUUUUUUGUGGUGGUAUCUGUGUGUGGGCUUCCAGAUUCUCUUCUCUCUAUCCUCUUCCUCCUCUUCCUCUGACUCUUCUGAUCUCUUCUCCUCUGAUUCCUCGUCCGAUGAGUCAGCAUCUCGUUUGUGGUGUUUCUUGUGGUGAUAUCUGUGUGUGGGUUUCCAAAUUCUCUUAUCUUUCUCCUCCUCCUCUUCCUCUGAAGGAUCUUCACUGCGUUUGUGGUGCUUCUUGUGGUGGUACCGAUGGGUGGGUUUCCAGAUCCUCUUUUUUCUUUCCUCAUCAUCCUCCUCUCUCUUUUCUUUCUCAUCACCCAGACUCCAGGACUCUUGACUGCGCUCUUCGUCUUCUUCAUCUCGUUUGUGGUGUUUCUUUGGGGUGUACCGAUAGGUAGGCCUAUAUCUCUUCUCCUUCUCAUCGCCCAGGCUCCAGGAUUCCUGACUACGUUCCUCUUCUGGCUCUUCUCUCUCUUCUUCUAAACCCACUUCGUCUCGUUUGUGGUGUUUCUUUGGGGUGUACCGAUAGGUAGGCCUAUAUCUCUUCUCCUUCUCAUCGCCCAGGCUCCAGGAUUCCUGACUACGUUCCUCUUCUGGCUCUUCUCUCUCUUCCUCUAAACCCUCUUCGUCUCGUUUGUGGUGUUUUUUGGGGUGUACCGAUAGGUAGGCCUAUAUCUCUUCUCCUUCUCAUCGCCCAGGCUCCAGGAUUCCUGACUACGUUCCUCUUCUGGCUCUUCUCUCUCUUCUUCUAAACCCUCUUCGUCUCGUUUGGGGUGUUUUUGGGGGUGUACCGAUAGGUAGGCCUAUAUCUCUUCUCCUUCUCAUCGCCCAGGCUCCAGGAUUCCUGACUACGUUCUUCGUCUGGCUCUUCUCUCACUUCUUCAGAAACCUCCUCAUCACGUUUGUGAUUGGGUUUCUUAUGAUGAUACCUGUGCGUUGGUUUCCAAAUCCUUUUCUCCUUCUCGUAGUUGAGGUCCCAUGACUCCUGGCUGCGAUCUUCGUCCUCCGGUGUCUCCCUCUUCUCCUCCACAGACUUCAGGAGGGCCUCGAUGUCUUUCACAUUGGCCCCUGGUGCCUCAGGCUUAGGUUCAUGUUCUUUGCCCUCCUCUUCAUUAGUCAGCAGCUCAUCACUUGUCUUCUCCACAGGAGCAGCAUGUUGGGCACCUG
Long non-coding RNA from Oncorhynchus tshawytscha (Chinook salmon), 1480 nucleotides. NCBI's taxonomy places the organism in Eukaryota, Metazoa, Chordata, Actinopteri, Salmoniformes, Salmonidae. The record is from Ensembl.